This is a long non-coding RNA of Bombus terrestris (buff-tailed bumblebee), 659 nucleotides long. RefSeq lists it as uncharacterized. Lineage: Eukaryota; Metazoa; Arthropoda; Insecta; Hymenoptera; Apidae. The transcript has 2 exons. The record is from RefSeq and is a predicted model, not a curated record.
AGUCGAUAAAAGGUCGGGUAUGGAAGAAAGUGCUGAGACGCGUGCAAGUUGUGCUCUUCUUAACCGGAGAAUUUUUAUUGAUAAAAACUAAGCUACGAGUAGACGUUAAAACGUUUGAUACGUUACGAACAGUUACCGUUUAAGAUGUGUCCGUAUCUUUAGGAUGAGAACGAUUGUAGAAUUCGUGCGAUACCACUGAGCGUAAAAACAAUUGCAAAGAUAAUGGAAGACUGAUAGCGAAGGCAACAUAGUGAAAAUAAAAAGCAAAUACCAUAGAAUACGCGAUGAAAGAGAGAUUAACGAAUGAGUUCGUAACAUAAUUGGUUAGUAAAUAAUUUUGUUAAUUUUGAAUCGAUAUAUUAUAAAGUAACAAAAGCAGAUAGAAUUUAAUUGAAUUCAAGCCAAAGUAAAUUUCUUAGCAAUUAAAUGCAAGAUAAAUAUUCGAGAAAAAAAGCGACAAUAGUUAAGGGUAAGAAUCAGUUAACAAUAGAAAAAAUGUCAAAAGGUUUUGCCAUAAGGCUAAACACGAUAUACGAUAUACUCGUAAAAGUGACAUAUCCAUCACCAUCGAUCUCGCUUCGUCCAAUAAAAGCCACGAAAAAUUCCUGGGCGAUGAAACUGCACCGAUCGAAGCUGAAGCUCGACACGACAAAUGGCCA